GAGAUCCUAGCUUAGUUAAAGCACUUGGGUUGCAUUCAGGAGAUACAGGUUAAUAUCCUGUGGAUCUUA
This 69-nucleotide transfer RNA is filed under the name Aphrodroma brevirostris (Kerguelen petrel). Its description in RNAcentral is "tRNA-Ala". It matches the Rfam family "tRNA". From Rfam's summary of the family: Transfer RNA (tRNA) molecules are approximately 80 nucleotides in length. Their secondary structure includes four short double-helical elements and three loops (D, anti-codon, and T loops). The record is from RNAcentral. Lineage: Eukaryota; Metazoa; Chordata; Aves; Procellariiformes; Procellariidae.